This is a long non-coding RNA of Betta splendens (Siamese fighting fish), 2260 nucleotides long. RefSeq lists it as uncharacterized. Lineage: Eukaryota; Metazoa; Chordata; Actinopteri; Anabantiformes; Osphronemidae. The transcript has 4 exons. The record is from RefSeq and is a predicted model, not a curated record.
AAAUCUCAUUUUCACAAGUAGCUAGAGAAUACUGCCGAUGUCUUAUCAAAUCACAAUUAUCAUACAUAUAUUGGACGCUUGAGUUAAAAUGCCUCCAUAUUUGAUUUUAUUUUGAAAGCUCUUCCAGGAAAUAAUGUAUUGUGAAACGUACACAUUUGCAGACGAGCUGAAUAAACGCCACAGAGGAAAAACCUUUCACCACCAACCCAGGUGGCUUCUUCAGUCUGAAGAACUCAUGAGGAGGGACACUCUGAGAUGCGUCUCUUCUCCACCCUGCAACGACCUCCAGGGCUUGUUUGGGGUUGCAGGGAGAAAGUUCGUUGAUGCAGUAGACAGUUGCUAACUGGACCCCCCAAGGCACAUCUGGAGAGAACACAUGGCUACAAUUAACAGGCUGCAGACAAAUGGAAGACCGGGUGAGGAUGUUCAAAACUAAGGACAGGAUGCACCAAAUGCUAGGAAGUGAAAACGGGAAGGUGUUGGUCUGCAGUGAACUGGGGGAUGGAGGAACAGCUGCUGACCCUUCAAAGGACUGACGGUGAUGGAAGUUUACACCAGCCGGUGUAAGAGAGAUGCAUGAAAGAAAGAUAAUUAACCAAGUUUUCUUAUUGUGCAUUUCAUUCCUGAGUGAUAAUGAUAACACAGGAUAUUAAACCUGGCCAGAUACUGGUUAUUGUGGCUGUUUACUGGAAAAGAUAACAUCUAAAUAGAUAUUUAUUUACUUCAGUCUGAGCCAAGGUGCCAUUGUUUGACACCUCACACCCGUCAUGCCUGUACUUGCACCAAAGGGUUACUUUAGAACCAUAUGGCUCCGUUCUCAAAUCUUCUACUAGACUGAUCUGUUUGUUCUUUAUUAUUAGCUCAAUGUGAAUUUACAAGGCUCAUGUUAUUCUGACUACAAGGCUCUGCUGAAACUUUAAAGGGUUAAGUUGUGUUAUGUUGAUUGCUCCUCCUGUGGGUUAAAAAAAUGUGAUUUUACUAAUAAUGCAUUCUAUUUGUGACUUUGAAGAGCUCUCUUCCAUAUAAGAACAUACAUGGUAUUGGACUCCUGACUUAUGACACAGACUCUUGUUUGUAUUAUUUAACCAAAACAUGCUUCAUUGAAUUUUAAAUUAACAAGCAUUGAAAGAUUGACUGAGCAACAAACAAUUUUUCACAAGACUUGUAGAAGGUGCUACUGAAAUAUACAGUUUUGUUUAUUUUAUGAUUUUUUUUUGUUUGUUUACUGCAGAACCUAUGUUAUCUACUGCAGUAGAAUAACAUAGGUUCUCUAAUGAUAUGUUAUAAAGAUGUUUUUACUGUUUACUGUAAUGUUUGAAGGACCAAACUCAACUCACCAAUUAAGUGCGACCUUUGUGCUGACAGCUGCUGUUUAGGUUCCACACAGGUCCACAAAUUCUCUAGUAGCAUCCGAAACUUUUCUGGAAAACACACGAUAACGAUAACACACAACAAAAACAAAUGUCUACUUAAAUAGAUCAUUUUUAAAGAGAAGAUGAAAAAAAAAGAUCUAAAGUAUAUACCUUUGUCAACUUUAGGUUCCUCUGGUACACUUGCUUGAGUUGAUGCGCUCCUAUAUUCUGUUGACAAUAUUUCAAAUGUAGUUUUAUUUUACCCAAAUCUAAUAUAAACAAAUUAUGCUUGAUCAGGUUAUAUAAUCAAACGUCUUCUAAAUCUGUCAAAUUCCCAAACAAUACCUGACCACAAUAAUAAACUUUUAUUGUGCCAUUAUAAUUAUUUACCUUUACACCUUUCUCUCUCCAGUUUUAUCAGUCUCAUCUGCAAAUGAUUCAAAAUUCUACAUGAAGAAAAAGACCAUUUCAAUAGUACUAAAUAUUUUAAACAUUUUGUGGUACAGCACCUGGAGAUCAUUGAUAUUUCUCUCUAACAGGAUCUUUUCUCUGGUCAGCUGGGAAAUCUGAUGUUUCUGUUUGCAAACUGAGUCUGAAACAAAGAUGCAAGAUAAUUUAUUUGCUAACAUAUAACUUAAACACUGAUUCAAGACAUACUUGUCAUUAUAAAUAUUUAUAUAGUGUUUUUUUUCCACUAUUUAUUUUAAUACAAACCUUCAAGUAAUCCCACUUUACUUUCGAGGCUGUCCUUUCUGUUGAUGAAAAGACAACAUGGGACUUUUUAGAAUGAUUUGGCUUAUACAUAUUCCGGUAAAAUGUUGUAAACAUUGUUGUUAUUAUUAUUAUCAUCAUCAUCAUCAUCACAGAAUAAUUAAAAUCUUAUGACAAAUGUUGCAAAAGAAGACAAU